CGUUCAUUUUUUUCAUGUUGUUAUCUUUGCUGUUGAAACUUGACCAAAACCAAGAGAAAAACAAAUUCCAUUCUCCUUUGAAGAUACUACUGAUCGUUCCCUGGAUUGUACUUUGCCGGUUCUUAAACGACAGUUGAGAGUACGGAGAGAAGUAGCAAUAGUAAACCGGACAGAGCUUACGACAGGCUUUAUCGCUUGGAAAGUUAGUAUUUUGUUAUAUUUUGAUGUGUAUAUCAUGGGACUAUCUGGGGUAGUUGUUUGUCGACAGUAACUUACCUUUUUGUCGCAUUUCGGCGUCUAUGUGUAUUUAUGAUAUAGUACGGUACAAGGUCUGACUUUGGAUGUUUACUUUGACUGCAUACAUAGCUAUCUUUUACUGGCAGGUCUUAAAAUCUUGUAUCACUAUAUGUGGAAUUUUUACUUUGUAAAUCUAAUACCAAGUUGCAUUUGCUAGCUAUAGGAUUAUUAAAAUGGAUGUCAAUUGAUCUAGUUUUAGGACUGUUUGUUUAAUCUUGUUUUCAACUAGUACUUAAGUGUACUGUACGUAAUAUUCUAUAUUCUUUUCCUUAUUUUGUUUUAAUGGCUCAUUUUCUCUUUAAGCUAAAACCCCCAAGUAGUUGAGAGAAUGUGCUGGUGGCAUCCUAAAAUUUGGUGAGUUUCUUUUUUUUUUAACUCUUCUUUGGCUGAGAAAGUUAGUUUUUAUGCUGGGUUCUUAUAAUACUGGGGUUGGACUAAGUUUGGAAUUUUAUCAAGUCCAUAUUAAGUUUGAAAUUUUUGAGGAGUACUGUUGCCUAAUUUUUAAAAAACAACUUGGUACUUAAAUUUCACUUCGUGUACUAAAUGAAUGUGUCUUCCUUUUCUUACGACAAAUGAUUAUUUACAUGUAAAUUUUUUCGUUUUCAUUCGUA
Long non-coding RNA from Papaver somniferum (opium poppy), 908 nucleotides. RefSeq lists it as uncharacterized. The transcript has 2 exons. The record is from RefSeq and is a predicted model, not a curated record. NCBI's taxonomy places the organism in Eukaryota, Viridiplantae, Streptophyta, Magnoliopsida, Ranunculales, Papaveraceae.